GAUGAGCAUGCGUCCCAUUAGCUAGUUGGUAAGGUAACGGCUUACCAAGGCUACGAUGGGUAGGGGUCCUGAGAGGGAGAUCCCCCACACUGGUACUGAGACACGGACCAGACUCCUACGGGAGGCAGCAGUGAGGAAUAUUGGACAAUGGGCGCAAGCCUGAUCCAGCCAUGCCGCGUGCAGGAUGACGGUCCUAUGGAUUGUAAACUGCUUUUAUACGAGAAGAAACAUCCCGACGUGUCGGGACUUGACGGUAUCGUAAGAAUAAGGAUCGGCUAACUCCGUGCCAGCAGCCGCG
This 298-nucleotide ribosomal RNA is filed under the name uncultured soil bacterium. Its description in RNAcentral is "partial 16S ribosomal RNA". It matches the Rfam family "Bacterial small subunit ribosomal RNA", at positions 224 to 519 of the family's 1533-position model. The record is from RNAcentral.